Molecule: unclassified non-coding RNA, 382 nt
Filed under: uncultured fungus
Lineage: Eukaryota; Fungi
Description: partial contains small subunit ribosomal RNA, internal transcribed spacer 1, and 5.8S ribosomal RNA
Rfam family: Eukaryotic small subunit ribosomal RNA (bases 1-73)
Source: RNAcentral
GCAAACUUGGUCAUUUAGAGGAAGUAAAAGUCGUAACAAGGUUUCCGUAGGUGAACCUGCGGAAGGAUCAUUAAUAAAGUCCUCCGGCCCGCUCCCCCUCGCUGGGGAGCGGGCGGGAUGUACCCGGUACGCCCACGUCCCGCGCGGCACCUCGUGCCCGCGGUCGGGGGUGUUCACCCUCCACACACCGUGAAACCUCCCUAUUUGCUUCGGCAGCACCGGGCCGUUCGCCGCGCGAUCGCCGGGUAAGGCUGCCAGAGGCCCGUCAUAAAACCUGUCGAUGAGAUGUUAUGCUGUCUGACGCUAUUGUUUGAGAAAUCAAAUCACUGUUAAAACUUUCAGCAACGGAUCUCUUGGUUCCCGCAUCGAUGAAGAACGCAGC